Molecule: ribosomal RNA, 790 nt
Filed under: Veillonella sp.
Lineage: Bacteria; Bacillati; Bacillota; Negativicutes; Veillonellales; Veillonellaceae
Description: partial 23S ribosomal RNA
Rfam family: Bacterial large subunit ribosomal RNA
Source: RNAcentral
GGUUAAGUGAAUAAGGGCGCACGGUGGAUGCCUUGGCACUAGGAGCCGAUGAAGGACGGGACUAACACCGAUAUGCUUUGGGGAGCUGUAAGUAAGCUAUGAUCCAGAGAUUUCCGAAUGGGGGAACCCAAUAUCUUUUAUAGGAUAUUACUUUUCAGUGAAUACAUAGCUGAUUAGAGGUAGACGCAGAGAACUGAAACAUCUUAGUACCUGCAGGAAGAGAAAGAAAAUUCGAUUCCCUGAGUAGCGGCGAGCGAAACGGGAAGAGCCCAAACCAACAAGCUUGCUUGUUGGGGUUGUAGGACUCCAAUAUGGUAGUCUGUUAGUAUAGUUGAAGGAUUUGGAAAAUUCCGCUAAAGAGGGUGAAAGCCCCGUAGACGAAAUGCUAACAACACCUAGGAGGAUCCUGAGUACGGCGGAACACGAGAAAUUCCGUCGGAAUCCGCGGGGACCAUCCCGCAAGGCUAAAUACUCCCUAGUGACCGAUAGUGAACCAGUACCGUGAGGGAAAGGUGAAAAGCACCCCGGAAGGGGAGUGAAAUAGAUCCUGAAACCGUGUGCCUACAACAAGUCAAAGCUCGUUAAUGAGUGAUGGCGUGCCUUUUGUAGAAUGAACCGGCGAGUUACGAUUGCAUGCGAGGUUAAGUCGAAGAGACGGAGCCGCAGCGAAAGCGAGUCUGAAUAGGGCGAAUGAGUAUGUAGUCGUAGACCCGAAACCAUGUGAUCUACCCAUGUCCAGGUUGAAGGUGCGGUAAAACGCACUGGAGGACCGAACCCACGUACGUUGAAA